RNAcentral lists this non-coding RNA (27 nucleotides) under Cricetulus griseus (Chinese hamster). Lineage: Eukaryota; Metazoa; Chordata; Mammalia; Rodentia; Cricetidae. The record is from RNAcentral.
AAACAAGAUUAUUGCGCAGGCGCUGGG